Molecule: microRNA precursor, 77 nt
Filed under: Bos taurus (domestic cattle)
Lineage: Eukaryota; Metazoa; Chordata; Mammalia; Artiodactyla; Bovidae
Description: microRNA bta-mir-2284z precursor (bta-mir-2284z-7)
Source: miRBase by way of RNAcentral
UUGGUUGUCCAAAAAAGUUUGUUUGGGUUUUUCAAACCAUCUUACAGAAAAUCCAAAUGAAUGCUUUGGCCAACCCA